Molecule: non-coding RNA, 3546 nt
Organism: Taeniopygia guttata (zebra finch)
Lineage: Eukaryota; Metazoa; Chordata; Aves; Passeriformes; Estrildidae
Source: RefSeq, a predicted model, not a curated record
AAGGACGGGGCGCGCUGGGAGAGCGCUCCGCGCGCCCCUCUCUGACGGCGCGGCGCCCGCACUCAAGAUGGCCGCCGCGGCCUCAGGCGUGACGUCAGGGCGCGGGGGCGGGAAGGGGCGAUGGUGGCGCUGAGGGGAGCCGGUGACGGGGACUCACACGGGACAGCCCUGAGCCUGGCACGGUACCGCCGCGGGGCUGGCGGUGCACGCCGAGGACACACCAGCAGACAAGCACCGCUCGAGGACGCCAGAGCUACUGGCAUUAUCGAACAGGGAGCGUAUUGACUUCUUUGCUGUAAGAUCCAAUUGGCAUAAUAUCCAUCUUUAUGGCCACCGAAAGUCCGGCACACCUCUCCUUGUGUGCCAGGUAAUAAAACUGCCACGUUACCCUGACCAGCCCAUGACACACAGGGCUCCCAUCAGCACCACUGCCCUGGCACCGAAAAGCUGCAGUGCCCUGCUCGGAGGCGCUGCCACGGGAGCGGGACUCGCCUCCAGAGCCCGGCAUCCCAAAGCCACUGCCAGGAUAAACCCGCUGCCAGGACAAACCCACUGCCAGGACAAAGCCCACUGCCAGGACAAAAGCCCACUGCCAGGAGAAACCCGCUGCCAGGACAGGUGCCCACUGCCAGGACAAACCCACUGCCAGGACAGGUGCCCACUGCCAGGACAAAGCCCACUGCCAGGACAGGUGCCCGCUGCCAGGACAAACCCGCUGCCAGGACAAACCCGCUGCCAGGACAGGUGCCCACUACUCCCCCAGCUACUGCAGGAGUGGUGGAGUUCAGCAGCAGCAGGACAGUGUUAUGUGUAUUGGGAAAAAAAAAAACUAGAGCUGACAAAUCAAAUUAAUAUUUCUACAAUAUUGAAUGAGAGAAUUCUGUAUUUAAAACCAGUUAAAUACAGAAGUCAGACUACCAAGCUCAUGCAUUAACUCAUCUAUAAUGAGCCAGAGGCAGCAGUGAGAACAUCUCAAAAAAAUCUGUAAGCAUUUAGAUGGAAUGGCUUUUACAAAAAAGCUGCUGAAAUAAUGGGAUGUUAAAUGAAGAUACAGGAUUAGCUAAAAUAAAAUUCAUCACCAUCUUGGAAUGCUGCUGAAGGCUAAAUUCCAGCCAUCACUAUCAGCAAGCUCCUGUGACCAACAUGUUUUUCUCUCAAUUAAAUACAUUGUUCUACUUUUAUUUAUAAGAAAAGAGUGAUGGACUGGCAUGAGUUCUUUCAAUUAAUUUUAUUGAGUAGCCAAAUCUGAUAAAUUAGCACAGAUAAAAUAAGCAUUUGCAUGUGUUAUAAAUGACUUUUUACAGGAAUAAAACAGUGAAAAUUACAAACUGUAAAAAGGAGGACAAGUAAAUCCUGUCUCAAAUUCAGAAGGGGGAAGAUUUAUAACUUCAUACUGAAGAUCAAAUCUUUGCAUUCAGAGAACAAAGAUUUAAUAUUACAAUAUUAUACACUACUUUACAAAAUUAAAUUUACUGUAAGGAUUACAUCCAUAAUAGUAAAAAGAACCUUAAAAUCACAUUUAAUGGUCCCUUAACUUAACAGCCAUUCUGCAUCUUUGAUUAAAUUCUGUUAAGAAAUUAAUUCUAAAUAAAAGUGAAUCAUUCUAGUUAUUGCAACAUAGUCUAUGUGGACUUAGACUCAAAUAUAUUAAUUUAAAAACAGUAAUGAAAGCAAAGUAAAAUGGAUGGUAACAAUGUUGGCUGAACACUUAUGUGUCAAAAUAAGAAACAAUAUUAAAAAAAAAAAAGUGUUUGACUACAAAGAGAGACACACCUCCACCACAGAUUUACAGUGGUGGAGUUGUGGUGCUGAGAUCUAAGUAACAGAACCACUCUUGCCUAUUUUUGUAGUCCAUCUUCAGUGUCCUCGUUUUACAAUUGUAUGUAAAAAAGCAACCACAGGUAGUGUGUGUGUUCAUGUUCCCUGUAUUGCCAUUACAGCAGUACAAGUGAACCAGCAGGCCUUCCCCACUGCAAGGGAAUAAACAAAGUUCAAUAAUUUCUUCUGAAGUGAACUCUCAGAGGGUUCAUCUGACUCAUUUAUCAUGUUUUGCUCUGUAAAACUUAGGGACUCAUCUUCAAACUUGUUAACUGCCACAAAGACUGACAUCUUCAGCCAUUAGUCUGGUGCACAUAAAGCAAUGUGAGAUGGAGGCCAUCUCCAGUAUUUAUGUUUCUUAAAAAAAAAGGGAUAAAGUAGCAAAAUACAGUCACAGUAAGAAAUAGACUUUGGGUGGGCUAUUUGAUGUAAGGAUGGUUUUCAAUUCAAAUUCUGAGUGAUAAUAUACCCCAAACCACAAGAUUUAGGGCAGAACCUACGCAAGUGCAGAGGUUCCAUUUAUGAUUUAAAUGAAGAGAUCCCUUUCCCUCUCCCUGUGGGGGGAAAAAAAUCAGACUGCCAAAGCUUAAAAGACAUCUCUUCACUAUGACUAGAAACUGUGCAAUUCUGUGAAAAGCAGUUCAAGUAAAUAUAUUCCUGUUUGCUACGGAGGCAGCAGACAGGGAAGCUUAAAUUGGUUCUUUAAUACUAUUUUCAUGCUGUUUUAGCCAUUGUUCUGAACUUUAGCUUCUUGUGCUCAAGAACAAUUUCUCCCAAGCAACUCCUCCCCUGACGCGAGGCAAAUCCUGACAAUUACAAGCAGCUACAGCCUGAAAUGGGAGCAAAUGUUUACCCAAAAGUUGACCCUACUGACAUUUUUAUCUCCAAACGUCCUAAGCACAGUACAUUUGACCACUCACAAGUAUUUUACCUCUUCAAGUUACUUGCCCCACAAAGUAAAUUUUGAAAGACCUUUAAGCUUACCACUAUUAAAUAAAAAAGCAAACCAAGAUUUUUCCAUAUGCAACACUUCCAUGGGCAUUGGAAUACAGUAACUUAAAAUACUUUUUACAUUGGUAGCUAUCAAUGAUAGCUUAAUCUUGAAAACUAAAGAAUUAUCAAUACACCUCUAUAAAAUUAUUUAAAUAUUUUUUGUAUACAAGUUUUUACUUCAAGUCCAAUGUCAGCUUCGGUCUGUAGCUCUGGCAGGAUCUCAGAGUAUAUUUAAAGCUUUUAUUUGGUGCACAGUGGCCUUGAACCUGGGCUCAUUACACAGCUCCAGCAAAACACCUUUUUUUUUGAAAACUUCAGGCAUUUCUGCAACCAUAUACAUAUCUUCAAAUUCAAUAUAAUAAUUUUGUUCUUGGAAAAAUAAUUUCCAAUUUGAAUGUCAGAAUAUUCAGUGUUGCAGACCAACAUUUGGUCUGAAGUGCUGCCAACAAGCUUGCUUCAGAAACACACCAGAUCUGAGGGGCCCAACAUUCACUUAAAGUACACAAGAGCCAAAAGUCUACUGAACGUAAACCAAACAAAAUCUGAGAUAGCCUUCCUUGCUCUUCCCCUCCCACACUAUUCAUAAGAUAUUAAAACUAUUCCUUUUACUGAAGAAAAGCAAAGCUUACAAUCUAAGUCUACUUUUGCUGCCAACUCAGCCAAUGACUUUUUAAAAUCUGCCUCAUGUAGGGCCCACUUUUCCCCACUGUUUUUAAAAUUAGAAUACUGACUUAU